GGUCAUUUAGAGGAAGUAAAAGUCGUAACAAGGUCUCCGUUGGUGAACCAGCGGAGGGAUCAUUACUGAGUUUACGCUCUAUAACCCUUUGUGAACAUACCUAUAACUGUUGCUUCGGCGGGUAGGGUCUCCGCGACCCUCCCGGCCUCCCGCCUCCGGGCGGGUCGGCGCCCGCCGGAGGAUAACCAAACUCUGAUUUAACGACGUUUCUUCUGAGUGGUACAAGCAAAUAAUCAAAACUUUUAACAACGGAUCUCUUGGUUCUGGCAUCGAUGAAGAACGCAGCGAAAUGCGAUAAGUAAUGUGAAUUGCAGAAUUCAGUGAAUCAUCGAAUCUUUGAACGCACAUUGCGCCCGCCAGCAUUCUGGCGGGCAUGCCUGUUCGAGCGUCAUUUCAACCCUCAAGCUCUGCUUGGUGUUGGGGCCCUACAGCUGAUGUAGGCCCUCAAAGGUAGUGGCGGACCCUCCCGGAGCCUCCUUUGCGUAGUAACUUUACGUCUCGCACUGGGAUCCGGAGGGACUCUUGCCGUAAAACCCCCCAAUUUUCCAAAGGUUGACCUCGGAUCAGGUAGGAAUACCCGCUGAACUUAAGCAUAUCAAUAAGCGGAGGAA
RNAcentral lists this ribosomal RNA (611 nucleotides) under Colletotrichum gloeosporioides. RNAcentral describes it as "eukaryotic LSU rRNA". The stretch from base 238 to 391 matches the Rfam family "5.8S ribosomal RNA". Lineage: Eukaryota; Fungi; Ascomycota; Sordariomycetes; Glomerellales; Glomerellaceae. The record is from RNAcentral.